This 258-nucleotide ribosomal RNA is filed under the name uncultured bacterium. RNAcentral describes it as "partial 16S ribosomal RNA". It matches the Rfam family "Bacterial small subunit ribosomal RNA", at positions 15 to 266 of the family's 1533-position model. The record is from RNAcentral.
GAUCCUGGCUCAGGACGAACGCUGGCGGCGUGCUUAACACAUGCAAGUCGAACGCUGAAGCCUAGCUUUUGUUGGGUGGAUGAGUGGCGAACGGGUGAGUAACACGUGAGUAACCUGCCCCCCUUCUUUGGGAUAACGCCCGGAAACGGGUGCUAAUACUGGAUAUUCACUGAUCUUCGCAUGGGGGUUGGUGGAAAGGUUUUUUUCUGGUGGGGGAUGGGCUCGCGGCCUAUCAGCUUGUUGGUGGGGUGAUGGCCU